Molecule: ribosomal RNA, 585 nt
Filed under: Triticum aestivum (bread wheat)
Lineage: Eukaryota; Viridiplantae; Streptophyta; Magnoliopsida; Poales; Poaceae
Description: partial small subunit ribosomal RNA
Source: RNAcentral
AUGGCUGCCGCCUCUGCGCUCACACUCAAGAUGGCCGCCAUUGUCGCCAUCUGCGUCACCAUGUUGCUGGUCCAGACCACCGUGGGGUUGGGAACUGGCCUGAGCCUUCUCUCCAGUUAUCCAACUUCUGACACCGGACUGAUCCACAAGUGCUCGAUCUUCCAGCCAGGAUCUUUGCUUAGGUCGAUCGAUCGAAUCCAGAUUUUGAUUACUAACGAUAAGUCUCUUCAGAUCGGGCCGGUUCCUGUCCCCGGUGCGACAGCCGGCGGUGAAGGAAGGAAGCCAGCGCCCACGAUGGACCCCAAAGACAGGGGAAACGGCAUGUGCCUCCCCUACAACCUGCUCGUCGACGUCCUCCGACGCCUGACACCAUGCGCCCUCGUCCAGUGCCAGGCGACCUGCCGCGCGUGGCGCGCCAUCGUCGACGACCACCACCUCCUACAGCGCUUCUACACGUACUUCCCAGGCGUCUUGAAGGAUCGUCAUGUCCGACGCUGGGACGAUGGGCCGUCCUUCGUCCUCCCGCCGGACAUGGUGAUGGACCCACUGACCUGGAGAGUAGAUCGUAAAUCAUACGGGACGUGA